RNAcentral lists this ribosomal RNA (3150 nucleotides) under Triticum aestivum (bread wheat). Its description in RNAcentral is "partial small subunit ribosomal RNA". The record is from RNAcentral. Lineage: Eukaryota; Viridiplantae; Streptophyta; Magnoliopsida; Poales; Poaceae.
AUGGGGUCCGAGACAACUGAAAGAAAUGACACCUUGCUGGGCAAUGGAGUCAUCGGCAUUCUCGCCGAGACUGUCAACAUGUGGGAGAGGAGGGCGCCGUUAACUCCUUCCCAUUGUGCUCGCCUCGUGCUCGGAGGAGGCAAGCGCGAAUCCGGCGUGAACCGGAUCAUCGUGCAGCCAAGCACCAAGAGGAUCCACCAUGACGCUCAGUACGAGGAUGCUGGGUGCGAGAUCUCAGAGGACCUGUCAGAGUGUGGCCUCAUCGUAGGCAUCAAGCAACCAAAGCUGGAGAUGAUUCUUCCUGAUAGAGCAUAUGCGUUCUUCUCGCACACCCACAAGGCCCAGAAAGAAAAUAUGCCGCUGUUAGAUAAGAUCAUGGAAGAAAGAGUGUCCUUGUUUGAUUAUGAGCUAAUUGUCGAUGACGAUGGGAAAAGAAUGCUGGCAUUUGGGAAAUUUGCUGGCAGAGCUGGACUGAUAGACUUCUUACACGGUCUUGGGCAGAGAUAUUUGAGCCUUGGAUACUCGACUCCGUUUCUGUCUCUGGGGCAAUCCCACAUGUAUCCUUCGCUCGCUGCAGCCAAGGCUGCAGUCAUCGCCAUUGGUGAAGAGAUAGCAACAUAUGGACUUCCAUCUGGAAUUUGUCCAAUUGUAUUUGCAUUCACCGGAUCCGGAAAUGUUUCGCAGGGCGCACAAGAGAUAUUCAAGCUAUUGCCACAUACCUUCGUCGAUGCUGAGAAACUUCCCGAGCUCUCUGCGGGAAAGAGUCUGCCUCCACAUCAUCAGUCAACCAGGAGAGCAUUCCAACUAUAUGGAUGUGUUGUCACAUCUAAAGACAUGGUCGCACCCAAGGAUCCCAGCAGAUGUUUCGACAAAGCUGACUAUUAUGCUCAUCCGGAACACUACCGCCCUGUUUUUCAUGAAAGGAUCGCUCCAUAUGCAUCUGCCAUUGUUAACUGUAUGUACUGGGAGAGGAGGUUUCCACGACUAUUGAGCAUUGAUCAGUUACAACAGCUGAUGAAGAAUGGGUGCCCUUUGGUUGGCAUUUCCGAUAUAACUUGUGACAUUGGAGGUUCCAUAGAAUUUGUGAACAAAAGUACAUCAAUAGAGAGGCCUUUCUUCCGGUAUGAUACUUCGACUAAUUUAUACCAUGAUGACAUGGAAGGCGAUGGCGUGAUCUGCUUAGCUGUUGACAUUCUGCCUACAGAGUUUUCCAGAGAGGCCUCCCAGCAUUUUGGAGACAUAUUAUCUAGAUUUGUUACCAGCUUGGCCUCAGCUAAGGGACUGCUGGAACUUCCUUCCCACUUGAGAAGAGCUUGCAUCGCAUAUACUGGCAAACUCACUCCUCUGUAUGAGUAUAUUCCUCGGAUGAGAAAGACUAUGAUAGAAUUGCCACCAACUCCAGCCAAUUCAUUGCCUGAUAAGAAGUACACCACCCUGGUAUCUCUCUGUGGCCACCUCUUUGAUAAGUUCCUUAUAAAUGAAGCUUUGGACAUCAUUGAGACAGCUGGGGGUUCUUUUCACUUGGUUAAAUGUGAUGUUGGACAAAGCAUCGACGAUAUGUCCUACUCGGAGCUUGAAGUAGGAGCAGAUGAUACGACUACAUUAGACAAGAUCAUCGAUUCGUUGACUUCUAUAGCUAAUGCGCACCGUGGAGAUCCUAAUGCCGCUGAGAUAUCUCUAAAGAUAGGAAGAGUCAGCGAAUGCGGAAUUGAUGACAGCAUGGAUAAAGUAGGACCGAAGGUUUUAAUCCUUGGAGCUGGGAGAGUUUGUCGGCCAGCUGCUGAGUUUCUAACAUCUUACCAAAACAUCGACCAAGUACAUGUUGUUGUGGCAUCUCUGUAUCAAAAAGAUGCAGAAGAGACAGUUGACGGAAUAAAGAAUGCAACAGCAGCUCAGCUCGAUGUUUCAGAUACUGAAAGUCUUUCGAAUCUUGUUUCACAGGUUGAUGUUGUAGUCAGCUUGCUGCCUGCUAGUUUUCAUGCUGCCAUUGCAAGAGUAUGCAUAGAGCUCAAGAAGCACUUGGUCACAGCAAGCUAUGUUGAUGAUUCCAUGUCAAAGUUGGAGCAAGCUGCACAAGGAGCAGGUGUAACUAUACUCUGCGAAAUGGGCCUUGAUCCAGGCAUAGAUCACAUGUUGUCAAUGAAAAUGAUUGAUGAAGCACAUGCUCUGAAUGGAAAAAUAAAGGCCUUUACAUCUUUCUGUGGUGGACUUCCAUCUCCAGCUGCCGCAAACAAUCCACUAGCCUACAAGUUCAGUUGGAGUCCAGCAGGUGCCAUCCGAGCUGGAAGAAAUCCUGCUGUCUACAAAUUUCUUGGAGAGAUAAUCGAUGUGGAUGGUAGUAAAUUAUACGAGUCGGCAAAGAGGCUCAGACUACCAGAGCUUCCCGCUUUUGCCCUGGAACACUUGCCAAAUCGAAAUUCCUUGAUGUAUGGAGACCUGUAUGGGAUCUCCAAAGAAGCAUCUACUGUAUAUAGGUCCACUCUUCGUUAUGAAGGAUUUAGUGAGAUCAUGGCUAUCCUGGCGAAAAUCGGGUUUUUUGAUGCUGAAAAUCAUCCACUGCUACAAGAAACUGAUCGCCCGACAUAUAGGAUUUUUCUCAAUGACCUCCUUGAUGUCAACAAUGUAUCCACAUCUAACACAAAGGUAAAUGGUGAAGAAACUGGAGGACAUGAUGAUGAACUGAUUUCAAGACUCAUGAUGCUUGGGCAUUGCAAAGAAAAGGAACUAGCUGUCAAGAUACUCAAAACCAUCAAGUUCUUGGGGCUGCAUGAGGAGACACAGAUUCCUAAGGAUUGUUCAAGUGCAUUCACUGUUAUUUGCCAACGAAUGGAACAGAGAAUGGCCUAUGGCCACAAUGAGCAGGAUAUGGUACUGCUCCACCAUGAAGUCGAGGUGGAGUACCCCGACGGGCGACCCACCGAGAAGCACCAAGCGACGCUGCUGGAGUUCGGAAAGACCGAGAACGGCAGGCCCACCACCGCCAUGGCCCUCACCGUUGGGGUACCGGCAGCGAUAGGAGCCCUGCUCUUGCUCCAGAACAAGGUCCAGAGGAAAGGGGUGAUCCGGCCUCUGGAACCGGAGAUCUACAUCCCUGCGCUGGAGAUCUUGGAAGCGUCGGGCAUCAAGCUGAUCGAGAGAGUGGAGACCUGA